RNAcentral lists this ribosomal RNA (550 nucleotides) under Bacillus thuringiensis. RNAcentral describes it as "bacterial SSU rRNA". It matches the Rfam family "Bacterial small subunit ribosomal RNA", at positions 70 to 603 of the family's 1533-position model. The record is from RNAcentral. Lineage: Bacteria; Bacillati; Bacillota; Bacilli; Caryophanales; Bacillaceae.
GAUUGAGAGCUUGCUCUCAAGAAGUUAGCGGCGGACGGGUGAGUAACACGUGGGUAACCUGCCCAUAAGACUGGGAUAACUCCGGGAAACCGGGGCUAAUACCGGAUAACAUUUUGAACCGCAUGGUUCGAAAUUGAAAGGCGGCUUCGGCUGUCACUUAUGGAUGGACCCGCGUCGCAUUAGCUAGUUGGUGAGGUAACGGCUCACCAAGGCAACGAUGCGUAGCCGACCUGAGAGGGUGAUCGGCCACACUGGGACUGAGACACGGCCCAGACUCCUACGGGAGGCAGCAGUAGGGAAUCUUCCGCAAUGGACGAAAGUCUGACGGAGCAACGCCGCGUGAGUGAUGAAGGCUUUCGGGUCGUAAAACUCUGUUGUUAGGGAAGAACAAGUGCUAGUUGAAUAAGCUGGCACCUUGACGGUACCUAACCAGAAAGCCACGGCUAACUACGUGCCAGCAGCCGCGGUAAUACGUAGGUGGCAAGCGUUAUCCGGAAUUAUUGGGCGUAAAGCGCGCGCAGGUGGUUUCUUAAGUCUGAUGUGAAAGCCC